AGAAGAACUACAAAGAAAAAAGCAGCUUGUGGGUUAACGACUUCUCUCCCUUUCCAGGGAUCAUUUAGGGGAUCACAACCUGAUUUCCAGUCCUGGCCACAAAGCACUCUGAAGCUGGGGUGUGAUGUCGAGGAGGGACGGCCCAGGGGUCAUUCCGUGGAAAUGUCAGUCCCAUAAAAAAACUUGGCUCACACGGAGAGUAACCCCUGCGCUGUGACAUUUUGGAAACAGCAUCGCAAAGCAUGUGGUUUCACUCCCAUGGAUGGUUUGAAAAUUCGUCAGAAUGGAUUCAAGUAUCCCCAGGACUUGCUGCAAAGGAUUCAGGAGAUUAAAGAUUUAUCCUCUGUUGAUGAGUUGAAGAAUUCCUCAAAAGUAUGAGACAUAUGUUGACCAGGGCAAUGGAGUUGAAAAGGCAAUUCCUAUACUGGGCAGCCUGGGAUCUGUAUGAAUCAAGGUCUUCAAAGAAACAAAACAUCCAUGGGGACUGGAGAGCAUAACUAUUGGAGAAAGAAAAAUGAUGCCUCUUUGAAGUAUUGAGUUAUUUGGCUUUGGCCCACCAGGACAGGAACCAUGGGUGAUGCUUAGUAGCUGGGAAUGAUUCCUAGCCAACAGCCAACAGCCAACAGCAGAACGGGGACUUCAGUCCUACAACCACAAGGAACUGAAUUCUGCCAUCAAUCUGAAUGAGCAUGGAAGAGGACCCAACUGCAGUAACAAAGGAGCAGAUUGGCAAGCUGCAAGACAGAGAGCUCAGCAUAUCAAGACGUCAGUCUCCAAUAUUUGUGAGAACAUCAGCAACAAUCCAGUUGUCACAUCUGUAAGGAAAACAAGAAGUUAGGAGGCUCUGGUCCCCGUGCGCCAUUUUGGAAACAGAGUUAAAACCCAGAACCUUCAUUUUCCUAAUUUGCCACUAGACUUGGAGCUGAGGAACUUCAUGUAUAUGUACAGCAGUGCAAUUUAUUUAUGGACAUUACGGUCUCCUCAAGUUGACCUGAUCUUUGUGAGAACGAAGACCGUGCCUUGUACAUCUAUUCUGGCAGCCACACAGAGCCAUGCUCUACUAGGACAAUCUGCAACUCGGUGCUAGCCACAUAAAAAGAAACAUCACAGUUCCAUGAUGCAAGUUUGGUCUUCCAAGUGGACCUGAUAUGAAGUCAUGCUCAAUAUGCUCGUGACAAUGUUGAGAUUGGGCAGGUGGGUAAGGGUCUGAUAAUGACAGACCUUCCACUUUGGAAAAAUUAUCUUACAGGUACAGGGGGGCCUUUGUUGGAGGGCUUAAUACAUUGGGCAAGACGGACUUGCUUGCAUCCUGGAAGGACUUCUUCGGCAGUGUGUAGAUGAUGGUUUUGAGGGGAAUGGUAAAGUCAGAAAGAUCAGUUAGAAAGCUACUGAAAUAACCUAGCACAGAAAAACUGACUGUUCAAGCUAAGGCAGUAAGGCUGAAGAAGAGGAAAUAGAUUUUUUAAAAAAUAAUAUACUUUGUUUCUAAACAUAAUUCUAUUUUGGAUGGAUGUACCAAACCAGUCCCGUUUUGUAUUUUGUCUCCAAAUGCUUUGGAUGUUACUUUAAAAAUUGCAAUAGUAUAUAUGCAACUCAAAAUUUCCCCUUUCACCACUUUCGAGUACAAUUCAGUGCAUCAAUUGUUUUCAUAAUAUUGUGCCCCCACCCCCAAUAUCCAUUACCCAAACUUUUUCAUCACCCCAGAGACUCUGUACCCAUUAAACAAUAACUGCCUGUUCCCCACCUCCC
Molecule: long non-coding RNA, 1749 nt
Organism: Choloepus didactylus (southern two-toed sloth)
Lineage: Eukaryota; Metazoa; Chordata; Mammalia; Pilosa; Megalonychidae
Exons: 8
Source: RefSeq, a predicted model, not a curated record